CGGCGGACGGGUGAGUAACACGUGGGUAACCUACCUAUAAGACUGGGACAACUUCGGGAAACCGGAGCUAAUACCGGAUAAGAUAUCGAACCGCAUGGUUCGAUAGUGAAAGAUGGUUUUGCUAUCACUUAUAGAUGGACCCGCGCCGUAUUAGCUAGUUGGUGAGGUAACGGCUCACCAAGGCAACGAUACGUAGCCGACCUGAGAGGGUGAUGGCCACACUGGAACUGAGACACGGUCCAGACUCCUACGGGAGGCAGCAGAC
RNAcentral lists this ribosomal RNA (265 nucleotides) under uncultured Staphylococcus sp. RNAcentral describes it as "partial 16S ribosomal RNA". It matches the Rfam family "Bacterial small subunit ribosomal RNA", at positions 96 to 354 of the family's 1533-position model. The record is from RNAcentral. Lineage: Bacteria; Bacillati; Bacillota; Bacilli; Caryophanales; Staphylococcaceae.